This 745-nucleotide ribosomal RNA is filed under the name uncultured bacterium. RNAcentral's name for it is "bacterial SSU rRNA". It matches the Rfam family "Bacterial small subunit ribosomal RNA", at positions 8 to 736 of the family's 1533-position model. The record is from RNAcentral.
AGAGUUUGAUCCUGGCUCAGGACGAACGCUGGCGGCGUGCCUAAUACAUGCAAGUCGAGCGAACCAAUGGGAGCUUGCUCCCUGAGGUUAGCGGCGGACGGGUGAGUAACACGUGGGUAACCUGCCUGUAAGAUUGGGAUAACUCCGGGAAACCGGAGCUAAUACCGGAUAACAUUUUGAACCGCAUGGUUCAAAAUUGAAAGAUGGUUUCGGCUAUCACUUACAGAUGGACCCGCGGCGCAUUAGCUAGUUGGUGAGGUAACGGCUCACCAAGGCGACGAUGCGUAGCCGACCUGAGAGGGUGAUCGGCCACACUGGGACUGAGACACGGCCCAGACUCCUACGGGAGGCAGCAGUAGGGAAUCUUCCGCAAUGGACGAAAGUCUGACGGAGCAACGCCGCGUGAACGAUGAAGGCCUUCGGGUCGUAAAGUUCUGUUGUUAGGGAAGAACAAGUACCAGAGCAACUGCUGGUACCUUGACGGUACCUAACCAGAAAGCCACGGCUAACUACGUGCCAGCAGCCGCGGUAAUACGUAGGUGGCAAGCGUUGUCCGGAAUUAUUGGGCGUAAAGCGCGCGCAGGCGGUUUCUUAAGUCUGAUGUGAAAGCCCACGGCUCAACCGUGGAGGGUCAUUGGAAACCGGGGAACUUGAGUGCAGAAGAGGAGAGUGGAAUUCCACGUGUAGCGGUGAAAUGCGUAGAGAUGUGGAGGAACACCAGUGGCGAAGGCGACUCUCUGGUCUG